This 1555-nucleotide unclassified non-coding RNA is filed under the name Hevea brasiliensis (rubber tree). Lineage: Eukaryota; Viridiplantae; Streptophyta; Magnoliopsida; Malpighiales; Euphorbiaceae. The record is from RNAcentral.
UUUUUCCUCUUAAGCAGAAAUUAGAAUAGAGUUCAGUAAAACAAGAAACAAUAAUUACAACUUAUAGGAACCUUCAUAACAAGAUAGCAUAUAUGGAUAAACUUCACUAGCGUUGCACCCAUCAACUGCAGCAUAUGAUAAGGUGCAUUUUAUUACAUCCAAAGCAAUAAUUUUUGUAUCAAGCCCAACUCAUUUGUCUCACGGGCCCAAUUCAUUUAUCUCACAAGCCCUAGAUUAAGGAUACCCCACGAUGUCUGUGGCCAUGAUUUUUCUUUUGCUUUCAUCAACAAAACUCUAGCCCAAGCAAUCCAUCCUUCCCAAGACAUCCUCUUGUCCCAAGGACUUCCCCACUCCAACAUCAGUGUCAGCCCUCUCUCUGCCUCCUUCUCAGCCUCCUCAAAUCUCCCCUUUGUCAAAUAAACCUGACCCAACGCCACUCUUGGCUCCCCAACAAAAGGGUUCUUCUCAACACACCUCAACAACAACUCCUCGGCUCUGUCUAUCCCUAUCUUAGGCAUAUCACAAACAGCUUCCCAAUACAAGUCCCUUGCCAUUAUCUGCUCUCUCGCGUCUAAAAUCUUAGUGCACUCAUCAAAAACUGGUGGCACCACAAGCUCUAUAUCCUCAUCUCUGACUUGAUCAACCCCAACUCCACCAGCCCUUUUCCUUUCAUGUAUAAAAAUCUCUUCCUCUCUCCGUAUCAAAGUAUAAAGAGCACCCAUUCGAGAUAUUGAAUUGAUCCAUAGCCCUGGCUUGCCAUCUCCAGGCCACAAAGUAGCAAAGUUAUUCCCCAAGAACUCGAGCAGACCAUCCAAGUUGUUAAAUAACUCAUCUUGAAAGCCAAACAGUUGAUCACUGAAAUCAGCCAUGGUCAUCAGGAGAAAAACAGCCACUACUCUUCUUGUCACCAGAACGUCCUCUCCUGUCUUUAUAUGCUUGACGGUGAUGCCUCCAGCAGGCAAAAGAGAAUUGAGUUUCUUCCUCCAGGAUUCAUCGUUGAAAAUACCUUUGUCCUUGGCAUUUUUCAGCGAUAUCUCAGAGAGUUUGAGGUGUUGGACGAGUUCAUUAUCAGAAUACUUGAACAAGAGAUCAUCAUGGAUCAAGGGUUGGCGUGGAACGAUACAAAAUAAGUGAAUCAAUCUCUCAGCGGCUUCACCAACGUGGCUGCGGAACACAGGUGUUGGGAUCAAAGAUAGCAAGAUUGACAUAAGAAUUGGAAUAAGCAGAGUGGAAGAGGCCACAAAGACAAACAGAGUCAGGAGCAUUCCAGAUCUUGAGGAUGCGGUAGAUGUCGAGCAGGUGAUCGAGAAAGCUGCCAUGCUUGUGCCAACACUCUCCAGCACCGACAGAACGCAAGACUGCAACUAAAGAAGGCAAAUUGACGUCGAUGGAUUCGAGCUCACCACGAAGGAAGGGGCGAGCAGAGGCUAAAAGGGUCUGAAGGUAAUUGGAUUGUUGAUGAGAAUGUUGAGAAGGCAUGGCUAGGAUGAGGAAGAGGAAACAAGGAGAAAGAGCAGCACGUAAAGAUACGUGACGGAUUUUAAUUCUUUUGCUG